AAGUGUCUAUAGGCAAGUCUUUCGGCUGUAGCAAUACAUCCUGUCAAAGCUUGUCACAUAAAGUGUUUCAUAUUCCCAGGAGUGGGGAUACUCCACACAUGGCUCUGUAAACCAGUGAUACUCGGUUGUACAAUCUGGACUUUGUCAUCACACAAUUUAGUCUUCUAUAAACGUUGAUAUCCUGAUUUUACUGAGUAAACG
This 201-nucleotide long non-coding RNA is filed under the name Brassica napus (rape). RNAcentral's name for it is "long non-coding RNA (BNAP_LNC010301)". The record is from RNAcentral. Lineage: Eukaryota; Viridiplantae; Streptophyta; Magnoliopsida; Brassicales; Brassicaceae.